GAAAUGGAAAUCGUUGUUCAAGCUGAUUCGGUUGCUGAGUUAGAAAAAAAUUGAUGAAUCGAAAAACUUAAAGAAGAAUGAUGCUGAUGUUGAAAUACAAGAUCAUCCUUUUAAGCAGACUGAAGUACGAGUAUCUUUUAUUCAUUAAAUUUUUUAUUUUGAUUCAUUUUUUUAAGGUUUUUAAAAUGAAUACAUCAUAUUUUGUUGGACAUGCUUCAAUAAGAAACUAAUUUUUCAUGUGAUGCAAUUAUUUCAUAUGUUAAGGUGAUUAAAAUGUUCUUACUUAACGAUGCAAAUGAUUAGUAGUUUCUUCAAUUUAUUGCAUAUACAUAUAUAUAGUUGUCCGUGUGUAUAUAUGCAUAUUUCAUUUGUAUAUAUGUAUGUAGACAUAUAUACGAUUUGCAAUUGAUAAUAUAUACAGUUUGCACAUAUACAGUAGACGUAUAUAUAAUUUAAUGGUCAUAUAUAACGUACUAAUACGGUGUAUUUGUUUAUUGACUUCUUGUAUUUUAGAUUUUGAAUACAGAAAUGAAAAUCAAAAUUCAAACUGCCUUGGUUACUGAGUUAGGAAACGCAAAGGAGAUCGAUGCUGCAUAUGAAAUAAAAGCUCAUCAUGUUGAGCAGACUGAAGU
Molecule: long non-coding RNA, 632 nt
Filed under: Capsicum annuum
Lineage: Eukaryota; Viridiplantae; Streptophyta; Magnoliopsida; Solanales; Solanaceae
Description: long non-coding RNA (CANN_LNC016252)
Source: RNAcentral